Molecule: ribosomal RNA, 292 nt
Filed under: uncultured Planctomycetota bacterium
Lineage: Bacteria; Pseudomonadati; Planctomycetota
Description: uncultured planctomycete partial 16S ribosomal RNA
Source: RNAcentral
GGACUACCAGGGUAUCUAAUCCCGUUUGCUCCCCUAGCUUUCGUGCCUCAGCGUCAGAAGAGAUCCAGUGAACCGCUUUCGCCACCGGUGUUCCUUAGGAUAUCAACGCAUUUCACCGCUCCACCCUAAGUUCCGUUCACCUCUAUCUCCCUCAAGCACGGUAGUUUUGAGCGCAGUUCCUCAGUUAAGCUGAGGGAUUUCACACCCAACUUUCCGCACCGCCUACGCACCCUUUAAGCCCAGUGAUUCCGAAUAACGUUUGCAUGGUUCGUCUUACCGCGGCUGCUGGCAC